UACGGGGGGGGCAAUCGUUGUUCGGAAUUAUUGGGCGUAAAGGGCUCGUAGGCGGUUUGUCGCGUCGGGAGUGAAAUCCUACGGCUUAACUGUGGGCUUGCUUUCGAUACGGGCAGACUAGAGUGCGGUAGGGGAGACUGGAAUUCCUGGUGUAGCGGUGAAAUGCGCAGAUAUCAGGAGGAACACCGGUGGCGAAGGCGGGUCUCUGGGCCGUAACUGACGCUGAGGAGCGAAAGCGUGGGGAGCGAACAGG
Molecule: ribosomal RNA, 253 nt
Filed under: uncultured bacterium
Lineage: Bacteria
Description: partial 16S ribosomal RNA
Rfam family: Bacterial small subunit ribosomal RNA
Source: RNAcentral